CCUCUUCAAUUGAAACCCUACCCAAUUAGAGAAAAGAUGUUUCACUCACUCUAUUUCCAGUUUUUAGUUGUAAUAGGAAAAAAAAAAGAAACUGGAGCUGAAAAGAGAUUCGAUCUGUUUCGACUCGGUGGAGGAGAUGGCUACUAUUUGAGUGGGUUCAACUUGUAGUGAGGUUACCCGGUGUGAGACAUCUCUGGGUUGACAGAUUCUGGGAAGAAUUUCAAUACAAGGUGGAAUCAACUCGUGGUAGCAUGGGACGGUUACUAAUAGCUCAGUUUGUAUGACUAUUGGAACUAUUGGGAACAACUCGUCCUACUCAUUAUCAUGCUCUAUAUGAUGAACUUAGCUUCUCAGCGGAUGACUUGCAAGACCUUGUUCAUUCUUUAUCAUAUGUGUA
This is a long non-coding RNA of Rosa chinensis, 397 nucleotides long. RefSeq lists it as uncharacterized. The transcript is spliced from 3 exons. The record is from RefSeq and is a predicted model, not a curated record. NCBI's taxonomy places the organism in Eukaryota, Viridiplantae, Streptophyta, Magnoliopsida, Rosales, Rosaceae.